This 202-nucleotide long non-coding RNA is filed under the name Nicotiana benthamiana. RNAcentral describes it as "long non-coding RNA (NBEN_LNC036376)". Lineage: Eukaryota; Viridiplantae; Streptophyta; Magnoliopsida; Solanales; Solanaceae. The record is from RNAcentral.
AAAAAUUCCCAAAAAUUCCAGAUUUUCUUCUGCAAGUUCUAUUAGCAAAAUUUGAAUUUCAACUUCAAGGAAGAGAAAUAAUCUGAACACUUAGUGUAGAAAUACUGUUACAUUGAAGUCUCUAGGGUAGUUUCAAGUUCUAGUCAUUGAUUCUUAUUUCCUAGCUGGACUCUCAACUGUUGAAGCUUCAAAAGUGUCAUGG